GCUGGGAUAGCUUAGUGAGUAAAGCAUGAGACUCUUAAUCUCAGAGUCAGGGGUUCGAACCCCACAUUGGGUG
This 73-nucleotide transfer RNA is filed under the name Podarcis lilfordi (Lilford's wall lizard). RNAcentral's name for it is "tRNA.Lys". The stretch from base 8 to 64 matches the Rfam family "tRNA", at positions 8 to 63 of the family's 71-position model. Rfam says of the family: Transfer RNA (tRNA) molecules are approximately 80 nucleotides in length. Their secondary structure includes four short double-helical elements and three loops (D, anti-codon, and T loops). Further hydrogen bonds mediate the characteristic L-shaped molecular structure. tRNAs have two regions of fundamental functional importance: the anti-codon, which is responsible for specific mRNA codon recognition, and the 3' end, to which the tRNAs corresponding amino acid is attached (by aminoacyl-tRNA synthetases). tRNAs cope with the degeneracy of the genetic code in two manners: having more than one tRNA (with a specific anti-codon) for a particular amino acid; and 'wobble' base-pairing, i.e. permitting non-standard base-pairing at the 3rd anti-codon position. The record is from RNAcentral. Lineage: Eukaryota; Metazoa; Chordata; Lepidosauria; Squamata; Lacertidae.